CCACUGGAUGAUGACGAGGUCAUCUCCUACAUCCUGGCAGGACUGGAUAUGGAGUACCAGCCACUGGUGUCGGCUCUCGAUGCUCGCAAGGAACCAGUCACGAUUGAUGAUCUGUUCGCUCAAGUAAGUAACUUUGAUC
This is a non-coding RNA of Triticum urartu, 139 nucleotides long. Lineage: Eukaryota; Viridiplantae; Streptophyta; Magnoliopsida; Poales; Poaceae. The record is from Rfam.